CUGAUAUCUAUAAUAAGACGUUAAUACAUUUUCUCUAUUAUCAUUAUUACUAUUGUUACUAUUAUUAUUAUGUCAUAUCCUUUAGAAAUAUGGAACAUUCUGGGAGGCCGAGGUGGGCGGAUCACGAGGUCAGGAGAUUGAGACCAUCCUGGCUAACACGGUGAAACCCCGUCUCUACUAAAAAUACAAAAAAAUUAGCCGGGCAUGGUGGCGGGCGCCUGUAGUCCCCGCAACUUGGGAGGCUGAGGCAGGAGAAUGGUGCGAACCCGGGAGGCAGAUCUUGCAGAGAGACGAGAUCGUGCCACUGCACUCCAGCCUGGGCGACAGAGCAAGACUCCGUCUCAAAAUAAACAACAAACAAACAAAUAUGGAACAUUCUGAUAUGAAUAAGACACUUGCUCACUUCUCAAUUCCUUGGUGUCCAGGCUCCCGCACAAAUGAACCAUGUUCUUCGCCUAAGUCAUUUAUGGAACAUCUGCUUUCGGUUUAGCAUCAGGGGAAACAAAGCAAAGAAGAAUGACACCGAAGAAUCAAAAAUAAAAUGAGCAUAAGACCCAUCAAGAUUAUAGACACAUACAUUCCUAAAAUUGAACAUUAAGCAGAAUAAAAAUAAUCCCAGAUUAUAUGGUCUGACAUGCCAGAAGAAAUAAAAAGCUAAGGAAUUAGUUAAAAUCUGUGCAAAAACAAAAACAAAAAACCACUAUGACUAGAAAAAGC
Molecule: long non-coding RNA, 717 nt
Filed under: Pan troglodytes (chimpanzee)
Lineage: Eukaryota; Metazoa; Chordata; Mammalia; Primates; Hominidae
Description: lncRNA (ENSPTRG00000053767.1)
Source: RNAcentral